RNAcentral lists this ribosomal RNA (446 nucleotides) under uncultured bacterium. RNAcentral describes it as "partial 16S ribosomal RNA". It matches the Rfam family "Bacterial small subunit ribosomal RNA", at positions 338 to 795 of the family's 1533-position model. The record is from RNAcentral.
CCUACGGGGGGCUGCAGUCGAGAAUCAUUCACAAUGGGGGACACCCUGAUGGUGCGACGCCGCGUGGGGGCAUGAAGGUCUUCGGAUUGUAAACCCCUGUCAUGUGGGAGCAAAUUAAAAAGAUAGUACCACAAGAGGAAGAGACGGCUAACUCUGUGCCAGCAGCCGCGGUAAUACAGAGGUCUCAAGCGUUGUUCGGAAUCACUGGGCGUAAGGCGUUCGUAGGCUGUUUCGUAAGUCGUGUGUGAAAGGCGCGGGCUCAACCCGCGGACGGCACAUGAUACUGCGAGACUAGAGUAAUGGAGGGGGAACCGGAAUUCUCGGUGUAGCAGUGAAAUGCGUAGAUAUCGAGAGGAACACUCGUGGCGAAGGCGGGUUCCUGGACAUUAACUGACGCUGAGGCACGAAGGCCAGGGGAGCGAAAGGGAUUAGAUACCCCGGUAGUC